RNAcentral lists this ribosomal RNA (1413 nucleotides) under Phyllobates lugubris. RNAcentral describes it as "partial 16S ribosomal RNA". It matches the Rfam family "Bacterial large subunit ribosomal RNA", at positions 133 to 2594 of the family's 2925-position model. The record is from RNAcentral. Lineage: Eukaryota; Metazoa; Chordata; Amphibia; Anura; Dendrobatidae.
GCUAAAUAUCUAGCCUCAUCUUUUUUUAUUUAAAGACUCCUAUUCCCUAUUAAACCAAAACAUUUUAAGAAUUUAGUAGAGGCGAUCAAAAAAUUUGUUAGCGCCAUAGAUAUAGUACCGCAAGGGAAAGAUGAAAUAAAAAUGAAACAAUUUUUAAGCACAGCAAAGUAGAGUUUAUUUCUUGUACCUUUUGCAUCAUGGUUUAACUAGUCUAAUCAAGCAAAAAGAUUUUUCAGUUUGAGCCCCCGAACCUAGACGAGCUACUUUAAGACAGCUUCUUGAGCGAACCCAUCUCUGUUGCAAAAUAGUGGGAUGAUCUUAAAGUAGAGGUGAUAGACCUAACGAGCCUAGUGAUAGCUGGUUGCCUUAGAAAAGGAUCUUAGUCCUACUUAAAGUUAUCUUAAUCAAUAAAAAUACUUCUUUAAAGUUAUUCAAAUAAGGUACAGCCUAUUUGAAAAAGGAUACAACCUCCUCUACUGGGUUAUAUAAUAAUAUUAAUAAUAAAGUAGGCCUAAGAGCAGCCAUCUUAAAUGAAAGCGUCAAAGCUCAAUUAUUUAUUUAUUUAAUUUCUCAACCAAUUCCGACCCCUUAACCACUAAAAGGCAAAUCUAUAUAUUUAUAGAAAAUUUUAUGUUAAAACUAGUAAUAAGAAGCAGACCCUUCUCUCCCAAUGCAAGUUUUCAUCAGCAAGGACACCCCACUGAUAAUUAUCGUUACUAAUAAUAAAGUAGCAACUGACCAAGAAAAAUCUACUUAGUCACACGUCAACCUAACACCAGAGCAUUUAGAGAAAGAUUUAAAGAAAAAGAAGGAACUCGGCAAAUAUUAGUCUCGCCUGUUUACCAAAAACAUCGCCUCUUGAUCCCCAAUAAGAGGUCCAGCCUGCCCAGUGACAUUGUUCAACGGCCGCGGUAUCCUAACCGUGCGAAGGUAGCGUAAUCACUUGUUCUUUAAUUGAGGACUAGUAUGAAUGGCUUCACGAAGACUAUACUGUCUCCUUUUUCUAAUCAAUGAAACUAAUCUUCCCGUGAAGAAGCGGGAAUAACUUUAUAAGACGAGAAGACCCUAUGGAGCUUUAAACAAUUGAAAUAUUUGCUUUUACUAACUACCUCUCGAGGACUAAAUAUAUUUAAGCAUUAUUAAUUUCUAGUUUUAGGUUGGGGUGACCACGGAGUAAAACUUAACCUCCACGCUGAAAGUAACGCCUUCUUAGCAAAAAGCCACAUCUUUAUGCAUCACCAAACUGACUUACAUUGACCCAAUUAUUUGAUCAACGAACCAAGUUACCCUAGGGAUAACAGCGCAAUCUACCUCAAGAGCCCGUAUUGACAGGUAGGUUUACGACCUCGAUGUUGGAUCAGGGUGUCCCGGUGGUGCAGCCGCUACUAAAGGUUCGUUGUUCAACGAUAAAAC